AAGUCGUAACAAGGUUUCCGUAGGUGAACCUGCGGAAGGAUCAUUAAUGUAUAAUCCUUAUGGGUUUUACAAUCCAUAUCCACCUUUGUGCACUUGUAAACUGUUAGCUCCCUUUCGGGCGCACCACCAAAAACAGCAAUGGCUUCACUCAAGGACUUUAUGUCUGCAGGUUUGGUCUUUGCUGGGUGUGUUCGGAAGGGUCAGCAUUUUCUAUAUACCUCUUGAUUUAAACUACUUGUCUGAAGUCUUCUUUCAAGUUGGUCUCGGCCAAUUGAAAGUUAAAUCUUAAUAUAAAUACAACUUUCAACAACGGAUCUCUUGGCUCCCA
Molecule: unclassified non-coding RNA, 328 nt
Filed under: fungal sp.
Lineage: Eukaryota; Fungi
Description: partial internal transcribed spacer region
Rfam family: Eukaryotic small subunit ribosomal RNA (bases 1-46)
Source: RNAcentral